GAAUUGGUGCGAGAACGUUCCGAAACGGACGCUAAUACGGCAUACGUCCUAUGGGAUAAAAGCAGGGGAUCUUCGGGCCUUGCGCUAUCAGAUGAUCACUAGGUCGGAUUAGCUAGGUGGCGAGGUAAUGGCUCCCCAAGGCGACGAUCCCUAACUGAUCUGAAAGGAUGAUCAGUCACACUGGACCUGACACACGGUCCAGACUCCUACGGGAGGCAUCAUAGGGGAAUAUUGGACAAUGGGCGAAAGCCUGAUCCAGCCAUGCCGCGUGUGUGAACAAGGUCUUCGGAUUGUAAAGCACUUUAAGUUGGGAGGAAGGGUUGUAGAUUAAUACUCUGCAAUUUUGACGUUACCGACAGAAUAAGCACCGGCUAACUCUGUGCCAGCAGCCGCGGUAAUACAGAGGGUGCAAGCGUUAAUCGGAAUUACUGGGCGUAAAGCGCGCGUAGGUGGUUUGUUAAGUUGGAUGUGAAAUCCCCGGGCUCAACCUGGGAACUGCAUUCAAAACUGACUGACUAGAGUAUGGUACAGGGUGGUGGAAUUUCCUGUGUAGCGGUGAAAUGCGUACAUAUAGGAAGGAACACCCGUGGCCAAUGCGACCACCUGGACUAAUACUGACACUGAGGUGCGAAAGCGUGGGGAGCACACAGGAUUAGAUACCCUGGUAGUCCACGCCGUAAACGAUGUCAACUAGCCGUUGGAAGCCUUGAGCUUUUAGUGGCGCAGCUAACGCAUUAGGUUGACCGCCUGGCGAGUACAGCCGCAAGGUUAAAACUCAAAUGAAUUGACGGGGGCCCGCACACCCGGUGGAUCAUGUGGUUUAAUUCGAAGCAACGCGAAGAACCCUACCAGGCCUUGACAUCCAAUGAACUUUCUAGAGAUAGAUUGGUGCCUUCGGGAACAUUGAGACAGGUGCUGCAUGGCUGUCGUCAGCUCGUGUCGUGAGAUGUUGGGUUAAGUCCCGUAACGAGCGCAACCCUUGUCCUUAGUUACCAGCACGUUAUGGUGGGCACUCUAAGGAGACUGCCGGUGACAAACCGGAGGAAGGUGGGGAUGACGUCAAGUCAUCAUGGCCCUUACGGCCUGGGCUACACACGUGCUACAAUGGUCGGUACAGAGGGUUGCCAAGCCGCGAGGUGGAGCUAAUCCCAUAAAACCGAUCGUAGUCCGGAUCGCAGUCUGCAACUCGACUGCGUGAAGUCGGAAUCGCUAGUAAUCGCGAAUCAGAAUGUCGCGGUGAAUACGUUCCCGGGCCUUGUACACACCGCCCGUCACACCAUGGGAGU
Molecule: ribosomal RNA, 1286 nt
Filed under: Pseudomonas reactans
Lineage: Bacteria; Pseudomonadati; Pseudomonadota; Gammaproteobacteria; Pseudomonadales; Pseudomonadaceae
Description: bacterial SSU rRNA
Rfam family: Bacterial small subunit ribosomal RNA
Source: RNAcentral